This 208-nucleotide long non-coding RNA is filed under the name Homo sapiens (human). RNAcentral describes it as "HSALNT0305639". The record is from RNAcentral. Lineage: Eukaryota; Metazoa; Chordata; Mammalia; Primates; Hominidae.
CUUGUCAUACCUCCUUUGAAUAGCAAUGACUGGAUGACAAAGAAGUAAAGAAUAUUCUGUCUCACUACUUGGUCCUGCAUAGAGAGAAGAAAGGAAAAGGAGUAAAGAAAAUGCCAUCAAUAGAAUUAAAAGCAACGAAGAAGGAGAAGAAGAAGAAGGAGGAGGAGGAGAAGGAGGAGAAAAAUCAAUUAGAAAGUUUGGAUAAAAA